RNAcentral lists this long non-coding RNA (629 nucleotides) under Athene cunicularia (burrowing owl). RNAcentral describes it as "lncRNA (ENSACUG00000009133.1)". The record is from RNAcentral. Lineage: Eukaryota; Metazoa; Chordata; Aves; Strigiformes; Strigidae.
UUUUACAAGAUGGUAUAAAUUAAAGAAACCUGUUUGUUCACAAACCACUGCCCCAAAAAUGCAGUGAUAGAGGCAAAUCUAUACAUCUAAGAUUGCCAGCAGUCAUACAGCACAUCUGUGAACCACCAAUAUUUGCAGAUCACCCACUGUUGCUGUCCUGUGAUGUGUCUGCAAGAGACGUGGCUCUGGAAACUCAGUAGACCUCUUCAGUCCCUGAUUCCUCUGGUCUCCAACAUUAAACGUUCUUGCCUGAGGCAGCAGGCCUUGUGUGGGCAGAACUCUGAUGGGAAUUUUCCCCAGACUGUGGCUGUAAAGUUUGAACUGUUCUUCAGCUCCCAUGUGAAGGUCAUCUGAAUGUGACAGAAGGUCUGACAGACAACUGAUGAACCAUGGCAGAAGAGAGUGCAGGAUUUUACCUUUAAAAACUGAUACACGUGAACAUGUUUUUCAACAUUCUCAAAACAUGCAUCAAAUAUGUCUUGGAUUACGUAUUUUUUGCUGCACAGAGUCAGACAACAAGCAGGCAUGCAGUAAUUAGGAUGGAACUACAACAAAAACUGACCCAGGAGACCGUCUUGUUUCAUGGCUUUCUUAGGGUUAGACAUUCUUUUUCAUUAAUGGUAAUGAAA